Molecule: ribosomal RNA, 406 nt
Filed under: uncultured bacterium
Lineage: Bacteria
Description: partial 16S ribosomal RNA
Rfam family: Bacterial small subunit ribosomal RNA
Source: RNAcentral
AAUAUUGCGCAAUGGACGGAAGUCUGACGCAGCGACGACGCGUGAGCGAUGAAGGUCUUCGGAUCGUAAAGCUCUGUCCUUGGGGAAGAAGGGCUUCGGCCUUGAUGGUAACCAAGCAGAAAGCCCCUGCUCACUACGUGCAAGCAGCCGCGGUAAUACGUAGGGGGCGAGCGUUAUCCUGCAUUAUUGGGCGUAAAGGGUGCGUAGGCGGCCUUUUAAGUCAGAUGUGAAAGGCUACGGCUUAACCGUAGUUAGCAUUUGAAACUAAAAGGCUUGAGUGCAGGAGAGGGGAGUGGAAUUCCUAGUGUAGCGGUGAAGUGCGUAGAUAUUAGGAGGAACACCAGUGGCGAAGGCGACUCUCUGGACUGCAACUGACGCUGAGGCACGAAAGCGUGGGGAGCGAACA